This is a non-coding RNA of Caretta caretta (loggerhead turtle), 3740 nucleotides long. The record is from RefSeq and is a predicted model, not a curated record. Lineage: Eukaryota; Metazoa; Chordata; Testudines; Cheloniidae.
AGGUCAGGGGCCAGGGAGCACGUGAUGCGCGCCUGCUGGGCGGGGGCGGGGUGGCGCUUGAAGCGUUGGUCCCUCCCGGCCUUUACAGUUCGUCUCGCGCCUUCAGGGCCAGCUGGAGGGCGGGGGGAGGAGCUGGGUUUGGCGCCUUUUUCUCUCUCGCGGCUGUUGGUCUCGCGCCUCCCGCCUGGCAGCCGUCGCCCGAGGAGAAGGCAGCGGGUUGGGUUGGGCGCCUUUUUCCUGCCUGCUAGCGCUGCCCCUGGGCGUCCCCUUCCGUAGGGUCCUGUCAGGCCCCGCUUCGUUCCUCAGGAAACAGCGGAUGCGGGCCCGGCAGCUCUGCCCUACAGACCUCUGUUCCCGUACCCCACUGCUCCCUGGCACGCAGCGCUCAUUAUUAACAUUGGGAGCUAGGUGCCCCGGCAUGCGGUACUACCGCGCACGCUUCUUGUUAUAACGCAAGGUGCCCUGGCACAGCUGCCAUUACAGGAGGAAGCACCCAGGCAUGGGGUAUUGCCACGCGCGGUUAUGAUUAUAAUGCGAGAUGUCCCUGUGCCGCGUAGGGUUACUGCUGUAAUAUGAGACGCUGCGUCAGAUGCCCCUAUCGUAGGGUUAUUUUAUAAUCCGAAGCUUGCCCCACUCAGCUAGUACUCUGAAAGGAGGUGCCCCGAGUGAGGCAGUGUGGACAUGGCGACUGUUAAUUGUAUGAAUUGAUACAGAGUCUGAAGCAAAGUAUGGGGCUUGGUGCUGGCAGAAAUAAGGCCAGGACCGGCUCUAGGCACCAGCAAAGCAAGCACGUGCUUGGGGCGGCACAAUUCCAGGGGUGGCUUUCUGGCCAUCCUUUUUUUUUUUUUUUGGCUUGGGCAGUGGUGCACUUGAGAUGGCAAAAAACCUAGAGCCGGCCCUGAAUAAGGCCCUGCGUUUUCUCUUAGGCGUUCACAGUUUGUCUAAAUCAGACCGUCACUGAAGAAAUGUCACUUUUGCAAACAAAUAGAAGGACAAGGUCACAAUCUGUGGCUACAAUGAAGACUUGCUCAAGUACAAGGGAUAAAUCCAUGACUUGCAUUUGGCUACUAAAAGACAAAAGGAACCAAAAAUACAUGUUUUAUGAUCAGCUGCAUGAGCUUCUUUUUAAACCACCAUUUUUACAUCGUCAGAAAAUUUAUGAGAAAAAGGUUUACUGUGCAGCUGCUGGAAGAGGGAAUGUACUUCAUAUAUUCUUUUACCAGAAAAUAUCUGCUUUCAAAGUGAUGAAGAGGACAGCCUCUUCCCCAAGAUCCUGCAUCUGGAGAUGGGAGUAGGCUGCCACUGGUGUCCCUCAGAUCUCAGUUACUAAAGAACCUGAGAGAUCUUAGUUGAGAAUGCAGGCCAGAAUGAAAGGAAAAAAGAAAGAUAACAGGAACUGCUGUUAAGUCUGUCAAUGAGGUAUGAUGGCCUUUACAGGUAUUUAAAAUGUUUACUCCAUCUCUUAAAGAAAGAAAUAGCUUGUUGGGCCACUUGUCAAUUCUGCUGACUCAAAGACUGAAUAGAGGUUUGAUUGGCACUGCAGAUGCUUUACUGUGAUUAAAUUGGGCAUCAAAACUUGAAGACAAAGAACAAUGAAAAUGACCAGAACAAUAUAGGCCACUUCACCUUGAAUGGUUCCUUGAAAUAUGUGUUAACUGCUUAUGCUAAACAAGUUGUUGCACCUUGUAUUUAACUGUGACACUCUGAGGGUAUGUCUACGUUAUGAAAUUAGGUCGAAUUUAUAGAAGUCGAUUUUUUAGGAAGCAAUUUUAUACAGUCGAUUGUGUGUGUUCCCACUAAGCUCAUUAAGUCGGUGGUGUGCGUCCACAGUACUGUGGCUAGCGUCGACUUUUCGGAGCGUUGCACUGUGGGUAGCUAUCCCACAGUUCCCGCAGCUAUCCCACAGUCCGCCGCCCACUGGAAUUCUGAGUUAAGCUCCCAAUGCCUGAUGGCGCAAAAAUAUUGUCAUGGGUGGUUUUGUUUUGGAUACGUGUCGUCAGUUGCCCCUCCCUCAGUGAAAGCAACGGCAGACAAUCGUUUUGCACCUUUUUUCCGUGCGGACGCCAUACUGCUUUCAGCAGACGGUGCGGUAGGACUGCUAACUGUCGUCAUCGAACCACCGCUUCCACUGCAACUCUGCUCUCCUGCUCGUGUCUCGAUAGUGAAUUUAUCCGUGUUGGCUGUCAUGGGCUCCCGCUUCCACUGCAACUCUGCUCUCCUGCUGUCAUGGAUGCACCUCACAGGUCCUCUCGUUGUUCUCUAUAAAUAUCUAUUCUUGUGGCAUCUGUCAUCAGCCACCGUUUCUGCUGCAACUCUGCUCUCCUGCAGACGCCAUACCAUGGCAAGCAUGAAGCCUGCUCAGAUCACCGCGGCUGUUAUGAGCAUUGUAAACACCUCGCGCAUUAUCCUGUAGUAUGUUCAGAACCAGAACCUGCAAAAGCAGGCGAGGAGGCGAUGGCAGCGCGGUGACGAGAGUGAUGAGGACAUGGACACAGACUUCUCUCAAAGUACGGGCUCUGGCAAUUUGGGCAUCCUGGUGGCAAUGGGGCAGGCUCAUGCCGUGGAAUGCUGAUUCUGGGCCCGGGAAACAAGCACAGACUGGUGGGACCACAUAGUAUAGCAGGUCUGGGAUGAUUCCCAGUGGCUGCAAAACUUUCAUAUGCAUAAGGGCACUUUCAUGGAACUUUGUGACUUGCUUUUCCCUGCCCUGAAGUGCAGGAAUACCAAGAGGAGAACAGCCCUCACAGUUCACAAGCGAGUGGCGAUAGCUCUCUGGAAGCUUGCAACACCAGACAGCUACCGGUCAGUCAGGAAUCAAUUCGGAGUGGGCAAAUCUACUGUAGGGGCUGCUGUGAUCCAAGAAGCCAAUGCAAUCACUGAGCUGCUGCUAUCAAGGAUAGUGACUCUGGGAAAUGUACAGGUCAUAGUGGAUGGCUUUGCUGCAAUGGGAUUCCCUAACUGUGGUGGGGCAAUAGACGGAACGCAUAUCCCUAUCUUGGGACUGGACCACCUUGGCAGCCAGUAUGUAAACCGCAAGGGGUACUUUUCAAUGGUGGAUCACAAGGGACGUUUCACCAGCAUCAACGUGGGAUGGCCGGGAAAGGUACAUGACGCUCACAUCUUCAGGAACUCUGGUUUGUUUGAACAGCUGCAGAAGGGACUUACUUUCCAGACCAGAAAAUAACCGUGGGGGAUGUUGAAAUGCCUAUAGUUAUCCUUGGGGACCCAGCCUACCCCUUAAUGCCAUGGCUCAUGAAGCCAUACGCAGGCACCCUGGAUAGUAGUUAGGAGCUGUUCAACUAUAGGCUGAGCAAGUGCAGAAUGGUGGUAGAAUGUGCAUUUGGACGUUUAAAAGCGUGCUGGCAUAGUUUACUGACUCGGUUAGACCUCAGCGAAACCAAUAUUCCCACUGUUAUUCCUGCUUGCUAUGUGCUCCACAAUCUCUGUGAGAGUAAGGAGGAGUCGUUUAUGGCGGAGUGGGAGGUUGAGGCAAAUCUCCUGGCCGCUGAUUGCGCACAGCCAGACACCAGGGCGGUUAGAAGAGCACAGCAGGGCGCACUGUGCAUCAGAGAAGCUUUGGAAACCAGUUUCAUGACUUGCCAGGCUAUAGUGUGACAUUUCGGUUUGUUUUUCCUUGAUGAAAACCCACCCCCUUGGUUCACUCUACUUCCCUGUAAGCCAACUGACCUCCACACUUCAAUCACCGCUUGCAGAGGCAAUAAAGUCAUUGUUGUUUCAAA